RNAcentral lists this long non-coding RNA (461 nucleotides) under Rattus norvegicus (Norway rat). RNAcentral's name for it is "long non-coding RNA NONRATT012593". Lineage: Eukaryota; Metazoa; Chordata; Mammalia; Rodentia; Muridae. The record is from RNAcentral.
UGAGCGAGAGCGGAGGAAAAGAAGUAUGGGGGGAGCUGCCAUCGCCCCACCGACCUCUCUGGUAGAGAAAGACAAAGAGUUACCCCGAGAUUUUCCCUAUGAAGAGGACUCAAGACCUCGAUCACAGUCUUCCAAAGCUGCUAUUCCUCCCCCAGUGUAUGAGGAGCCGGACAGACCAAGGUCUCCAACCGGCCCCAGCAACUCCUUCCUCGCUAACAUGGGGCAGAACUCAUUUGAAAAUGAAGGCACUUGGAUUUCUAGAGACAUGCUUGUUUGGUCACAUGUUGCUCUAUAAGGAUUAGUGUUCAUACCGUGCUGAGUGUUUUCCAAACCAGUGCAAGUUUGUACAAAGCAGCCUUUUAGUACAAGUCAUGGAUGGUUUAGACACAUUUUGCUAUGUAGAAGUUUCUGAUAAUUACGUCAUUUCUCCUAACAUGCAAAUAAAAUAACUCAUAGGAAUU